AUUGAACGCUGGCGGCAUGCUUUACACAUGCAAGUCGAGCGGCAGCGCGGGGGCAACCCUGGCGGCGAGCGGCGAACGGGUGAGUAAUGCAUCGGAACGUAUCCUCGAGUGGGGGAUAACCCAGCGAAAGUUGGGCUAAUACCGCAUGAGCUCUGAGGAGGAAAGCGGGGGACCUGCGAGGGCCUCGCGCUGGAGGAGCGGCCGAUGUCCGAUUAGCUAGUUGGUGGGGUAAAGGCUUACCAAGGCGACGAUCGGUAGCUGGUCUGAGAGGAUGAUCAGCCACACUGGGACUGAGACACGGCCCAGACUCCUACGGGAGGCAGCAGUGGGGAAUUUUGGACAAUGGGGGCAACCCUGAUCCAGCCAUGCCGCGUGAGUGAAGAAGGCCUUCGGGUUGUAAAGCUCUUUCGGACGGAACGAAAUGGGUGGGACUAAUACUCCUGUCUGAUGACGGUACCGUAAGAAGAAGCACCGGCUAACUACGUG
Molecule: ribosomal RNA, 486 nt
Filed under: uncultured bacterium
Lineage: Bacteria
Description: partial 16S ribosomal RNA
Rfam family: Bacterial small subunit ribosomal RNA
Source: RNAcentral